CCCUUAGAUGUUCGGGGCCGCACGCGCGCUACACUGAAAGGAUCAGCUGGUAAGUUGCUCCUGGCUUGGAAACGUCGGGCAACCCGUUGAACCUCCUUCGUGCUUGGGAUUGGGGCUUGCAAUUAUUCCCCAUGAACGAGGAAUUCCCAGUAGGCGCGAGUCAUCAGCUCGCGUCGAUUACGUCCCUGCCCUUUGUACACACCGCCCGUCGCUACUACCGAUUGAACGGUUUAGUGAGGGCCUCGGAUUGGUCUCGGCCCGCUCUUUACCGGGCGGCGCCGUUGGUCGAGAAGACGCUCGAACUUGAUCGUUUAGAGGAAGUAAAAGUCGUAACA
RNAcentral lists this ribosomal RNA (335 nucleotides) under uncultured eukaryote. Its description in RNAcentral is "partial 18S ribosomal RNA". It matches the Rfam family "Eukaryotic small subunit ribosomal RNA", at positions 1470 to 1796 of the family's 1831-position model. The record is from RNAcentral.